ACUUUUAACGAGGACGAGCACAUCCAGGGGCGUCAAGGGGGUUACGACCCGGCGACAUACCAGUGAGUGGGCAUUGCUUUCUAUAUAUAUACCUAUAUACUCGAUUUCCCCAGAAAUCAAAUUUAAAUGAAAAAUAUAUUGAAAUGAAAUGAAAUAUGAUGUGAUUGCCAUGCAUAGAAUGUUAUGGAUAUUAUGAACUGUCGUAUGAUGCAUAUAUGUAUGAUGGUGCUGUGGACGCACAGGUAAGUAUUUAAUUACUGUUAUGUUGAGGAUGAUGAUAUAUUGAGCUCAUAUCCUGCACCAUGGUUUAGUGCUUAUAGUAUUCACCGCAUCGCACGCUCGCCUUGGAUCCAAGUAGAUGCUGGUCGUACAGUCCACGCGGAGUGGGUACGACGGGCCAGUCGUAGAAUGUUAGUGAGAUUAUGACUGGUGGGUGACCUUAGGUUAUUGUAUACAGAUGAUUGAUGAGAGAAGCACUUGAGCGAAUAUUACCAUGAGUCGUUCAGACUGCAUUAGGUGGUUCCGACUUAUGUGCAGAAGGCCGGACAGGUCACGCGGAGUGACUCCGGCAGAGAGUGAGAUUGAUAGAUGUUGAGCUCUAGGUUCAAUCGUUCAGGACUAUUAGAGGGCCUCCGAUUGAUUAUUUCUUUUACCUGAUUUAUAUUAUGUCAAUGCAUUCAUACUAAACUGCUGAAUUUGGCAUGGUACAUUCUUUAUUGAAUCUGCUAUAAGAUUGUUGAUCGAGACAGUUGAGAUAUAUAUGCUAUAUACUAUUUUUCUGGGAAAGUAUACAGGUUUUCCAAAAAGGGGUUAUAAAUGUGGAUUUAUGAAAUGUUUUGGAAAAGCUUUAUUUUUCGCCCACUCACGUUUUCUGUUUUUCGCCCCUCCAGGUUCUAGUUGAUAGUUGAGGCGUUGGUGGCCUACGAGGACUGCUUCGGCGUUCUGACAGACUAAAUAAAUGUAGGAUUCACCCGAGGGUGUUGUAAAAUAGUUAUGGUCCUACUUGACUGCACCUAGACGCUUAUGCUCUGUUUAUGUGUGUUUAGUACACUCUUAUGCACAUAGAAUGCUAGGUUGUAAAUAACUGCAAUUAGUGGUUUUCGUUGACUCGUAUUUUAUUAUUAAAUCGUUUCCGCUUGCGUUAUGGUUACGUCACACUCACGUGACGGCCAGCACGUUCUAGUCUUCGGGUUAGGGUGUGUCAGUUUGGUAUCAGAGCAUAGGUUGCAGUCCUGUAUAACUAGUGAUUUUACUUAUUAAUUUUUGGAUGUUUUCUGUCAGAAUUAUGCCGCCUCGUAGAGAUCCUCGCCGUGCUGCUGAGCCUAAUUUCCCCGAUAUAACUCAGCUAGGGGCAUCAAUGGCUCAAGCUUUUCAGGCUAAUAUCCGUCCUCCUCAGAGAACACCUGUAGAGACGAUGUAUAAUCUGAAAUUGGAAACCUUUGAGGGAAAUGAAGGUUAUGAAGGGGCAGAAAAGUGGUUGGAUCGGAUUGAGCAGACCUUUCAAGUGAUGCAAAGUCAAGGAAACCUGCCAGCUAAUAGAUGGGUGGAGACCACCACCUGGUUUUUGGGCCGUGAGCCAGCGGCGUGGUGGAUAAAUCAGUCGAGGCACAUGGCACCUGAAAGGACAGCCGAAUGGGAGGUAUUUAAGGAAAAUUUUAUGAAGAGAUUUGUUCCUCCGGAAUAUAUAGAUCGCAAGAAACAGGAAUUCACCAGUCUGAAGCAGAGAAAUAUGUCCGCACAUGAGUACUACAGGAAGUUUACUGAUUUAUCCCGUUAUGAUUCUGAUUUAGCGGGUAAUCAAGCAGAAAUGCUUCGUCGUUUCAAGUUAGGAUCUAAGAAGAAGUACAGAACGUUUGCCAAUGCACUUCCCUGUGCCGAUUAUCAUGAGUAUUUUGAGAUUCUGGUCCGGAUGGAAGACUCUGAUAAUCUUCCGGACAGUGAGGAUGAAGAGGAUAAGGGUAAUGGUCAGAAGAAAAAUGAGAAAGGUAAAGGUGUUUCCAUUCCAGGACCUCGUCAGAUGCAGAAUUUUAAGAAGAGUGGAAUGAGUUCUAGUUCUUCCAGUGGUGGAUUUAGUGCCACAGGUCCGAGGAGAGGAGGUGGUAGGUUUGGUAAUGGACCUAGAUUUUCUGGUCAGAGAGGCUUUGGUGGUACUGGUAGUUCGGGUUCUCCGUUAUGUCGCCGUUGUAAUUUCCGACAUUAUGGGGAAUGUAGGAGAAUCAGUGGUGCAUGCUUUACAUGUGGUCAGACAGGACAUAGAGCUAUGAAUUGUCCCCAGAAUCAGCAGAGGCCCCAGCAGCCUGUUAGGCCAACACCAGCACCGACUCAACAGAACUUUAAUUCAGGCAGUUAUGGCCAGGUUGGUCGUGGUGGUGCUUAUCAUUAUCAGGGUGAUGCUACUCCAUAUGCUCCAGGACAGUAUCACUAUUCCCAGGAUCCUUAUUCUCAGAGUGGAUAUUCUCAGGAUCAGGGAGGUUAUACUUCAUAUCCGUCUAUGCCAGCUAGCGGAUCUCAGUGGUAUCAGGGGGGUCAGCCCCAACAGAGCGGAGUUGCUGCUAGCAGUGCAGGGUCGUUUAGGCCGCCUGCCCAGACAGGUCAAGGAAGUAUUCAUCAGGGACGAGGUAAUCAGAGUGGCAGAUGUCGUGGAGGACGACAGCCAGCUCAGGGACGUGUUAACCACAUAUCGCUGCAAGAUGCUCAGAACCAUCCAGACUUGAUUAUGGGUACGUUGAAUGUUCUUGGUCAUUUUGCUAGAGUCUUGAUUGAUUGUGGUGCUACACACUCUGUGAUUUCUCAUACAUUUGCUCAAAUGACACAACCUCAUCCUUCACCUCUAGGGUUUGAUUUAGAGUUUGCUAUGCCUAGAGGGGAUAAAUGUUAUGUUGAUAGUUUUUACUCUGGGUGUCCAGUGAUGGUAGAUAAUGUCAUUAUGCCUGCUAAUCUUAUCCCGUUAGACAUCGUGGAUUUUGAUGUGAUUUUAGGGGCGGAUUGGUUGCAUUAUAAUCGCGCCCAUAUAGAUUGUUACGGGAAAUCAGUUACUUUUCUUCGUCCUGGACUACCUGAGGUUACAUUUGUGGGUGAAAGAAAUGGGGUGAGGCAUGGUGUUAUUUCAGCCAUAAGGGCAAAGAAGUUGUUAUCCAAGGGUUGUCAGGGAUACUUGGCACAUGUGGUGUUAAAUGAUGUUGAUUCCGGUAGUGUGGAGGAAGUCGGAGUAGUCAGACACUAUCCUGAUGUAUUUCCAGAUGAUUUACCUGGGUUGCCUCCAGAUAGAGAUGUGGAAUUUUCGAUUGAUUUACUUCCAGGUACGAACCCUAUCUCUUUGACUCCUUAUAGAAUGGCACCAUCGGAAUUAAGAGAGUUGAAAAUUCAAUUGCAAGAGUUAAUUGAUAAAGGUUUCAUUCAGCCUAGUUCUUCACCGUGGGGAGCUCCGGUGUUGUUUGUAAGAAAGAAAGAUGGAACUUUGAGAUUGUGCAUUGAUUACAGGCAAUUGAAUCGGGUGACGAUUAAAAACCGUUAUCCCUUGCCUCGUAUAGAUGAUUUGUUUGAUCAGCUCAAAGGUGCCUGUGUGUUUUCUAAGAUCGAUUUGAGGUCUGGGUAUUAUCAAUUAAAGAUUAAAGAUGAGGAUGUUCAUAAAACAGCUUUCAGGACUCGUUAUGGGCAUUAUGAGUUUUUGGUGAUGCCAUUUGGAUUAACGAACGCUCCUGCAGCUUUCAUGAGAUUGAUGAAUGAAGUAUUCCAGGAAUAUCUUGACAAGUUUGUUAUUGUUUUUAUUGAUGACAUCCUGGUAUAUUCUAAGUCGAAAUCAGACCAUAUUCGACAUCUUAACUUGGUGUUAAGGAAAUUGAGGGAACACCGAUUAUAUGCCAAAUUUAGUAAAUGUGAAUUUUGGCUGGAUCAAGUGGCAUUUUUGGGACAUGUGGUAUCAGCUCAGGGAAUUCAAGUGGAUCCUCAAAAGAUAGCAGCAGUGGAAAAUUGGGAACAACCUCGAACGGUCACUGAGGUGCGGAGUUUUCUUGGUUUGGCAGGUUAUUAUAGACGGUUUGUUCAAGACUUUUCUAUGAUUGCCUUGCCAUUAACGAAGUUAACCAGGAAGGAUGUUAAGUUUGAAUGGGAUGAAAGUUGUGAGCAAAGUUUCCAGCAGUUGAAGUAUUGCCUUACUCAUGCACCUGUGUUAGUACUUCCUGAUGAUGAUGGUAACUUCGAGAUCUAUAGUGAUGCUUCUUUGAAUGGUUUGGGUUGUGUUUUGAUGCAGCAUAGUAGAGUGAUUGCCUAUGCUUCUAGGCAGUUGAAGACUCAUGAAAGAAACUAUCCGACUCACGAUCUUGAGUUAGCAGCUAUUGUGUUUGCUUUGAAGAUCUGGAGACAUUAUCUCUAUGGCGAGAAAUGUAAGAUCUUUACAGAUCAUAAAAGCCUUAAGUACCUUUUCACUUAGCAUGAUCUUAAUCUUCGUCAGAGAAGAUGGUUGGAAUUGUUAAGUGAUUAUGAUUGCACGAUUGAGUACCAUCCGGGUCGUGCAAAUGUGGUAGCUGAUGCUCUGAGUAGAAAACCUCAAGGGCGACUUAAUGCUUUGUAUGCCAGUCGUGUUUCUCUUCUUGCAGAGUUGAGAUCUACUGGAGUAGAGUUAGAAUUGGAAGAGCAAAGUGAAGCUUUUCUUGCCAAUUUUCAAGUCAAGCCAAUUUUAAUUGAUCGGGUGCUUACAGCUCAAUCGUUGGAUGAAGAAAUUCAAGAAUUGAUCAGUUUAAGAAAGGAAAGCUAAGCCCCAGGUACAUUGGACCUUAUGAGAUCACUGAGAGGAUUGGUGAAGUUGCUUACAGGUUGGAGCUACCUCCAGAGUUGUCUAAGGUACAUAAUGUGUUCCAUGUCUCGAUGCUUCGACAUUAUGUUUCAGAUCCUUCACAUGUGAUUCCUCCUCAACCAUUGGAAAUUAAUCCGGACUUGACGUACGAUGAGGAACCAGUGACUAUACUGGAUUGGAAAGAUAAAACUUUGAGGAAUAAGACCGUGAACUUGGUAAAAGUAUUGUGGAGAAACCAUUCAGCGGAAGAAGCUACAUGGGAGACAGAAGAACGGAUGAGAGAUAUGUAUCCGAGGCUAUUUUAUGAGUAUUGAGGGUUUGGUUGGUGACUGGAAUUUCGGGGACGAAAUUCUAUAAGGAGGGGAGAUUGUCACAGCCCGUCCCAGAAUUACUUAAUACCGAGGACGUGAAAUUACAGAAACGCCCUUAAACGGGAUUAAGGUGCGUAAUUUUGACAUUUGUUUUACUUUAAGAUCCUAAACUAGGGUUAGAAUUAUAUAUUUGUAUGUGUUAAUAUUAUAUGGGUUAAGGUAGGGCCUUAUACCCUAAAUCCCUCCCCAAAACCCGUUUUGUUGUCUCUCUCUCAUCUCCCUAGUCACUCUCUCUCUCUUAUUCUUCAGAAAACACUCUCUCACUCUCUCUCUUACUCUCAUUCUCUCUCAAACUCUCGGACAAACACCCAAGACCUUGAAAACUUCACAAGUUAAGGUUGAGGAAGGUAGCAUCGUGUUCGUAAGGACCAUACGAACACAUUGAUAUUGUUUUCAGGUAAGAUUUCCCACGAUUCCAUGUAGAAAACUUAAGCUCCGAGAUUGCUACUGUUCAUGAACUUAAAUUUGGUUGUGUUUUAGGUUAAACAAAGAUCACCACGAGUCUUAGGAAGUCCCAAGGAGGCUCGGAGUGCCUCAUUUGAACAAAAUGGACGUCGGGAUCGUCGGGUUCGAGUUUGGCCGAAAUUGAGGAAUUUUGGAAGGUAUGAUCUCGUAGUUUUUAGGCCUUAAAACCCUUCCAACGUGAUAAUGCUUCAUUUUGGUGUAAAAUUCGAAGAAAUUGGACGAAAAACGAAGGAGAAUAGUGGAUUUGAAAAUUUUCCAGAAACCGGCGACCGGCGACUCGCCGGAGAAGACAGGGAAUCUUCCGUCAAGUUUGACGGAAUAUUCCGACGCCGUUAGUUAACUUUAACGGAAACCGUUAGUUUUUAACGGAAUAUUCCGGGAAUAUUCCUAACGCCGUUCACUGUACCGUCAGUGUGCCUGGCACGUGGCUGCGCGUGGGCCGCGCGUAGGUCCGUGCCACGUCAGGCGCGUGGGGGCGCGUGGAGCAUCCAAAAAUUAUUUUAAAAAUAUGGGGAUGAUCCUGAGGUUGUGUAGGUCACUGUGGUAUAUUCAUAUACCCAAUUUGAGCAUCGUAUGAAGAAUUUAUUACCUAGUUGGUUUAGGUGCGUUUAAUGUGCGUUAAAUGAUUGUUUUAAGUUAUUUCACUUCUAGGUGGAACUUUUAACGAGGACGAGCACAUCCAGGGCGUCAAGGGGGUUACGACCCGGCGACAUACCAGUGAGUGGGCAUUGCUUUCUAUAUAUAUACUUAUAUACUCGAUUUCCCCAGAAAUCAAAUUUAAAUGAAAAAUAUAUUGAAAUGAAAUGAAAUAUGAUGUGAUUGCCAUGCAUAGAAUGUUAUGGAUAUUAUGAACUGUCGUAUGAUGCAUAUAUGUAUGAUGGUGCUGUGGACGCACAGGUAAGUAUUUAAUUACUGUUAUGUUGAGGAUGAUGAUAUAUUGAGCUCAUAUCCUGCACCAUGGUUUAGUGCUUAUAGUAUUCACCGCAUCGCAACGCUCGCCUUGGAUCCAAGUAGAUGCUGGUCGUACAGUCCACGCGGAGUGGGUACGACGGGCCAGUCGUAGAAUGUUUAGUGAGAUUAUGACUGGUGGGUGACCUUAG
RNAcentral lists this long non-coding RNA (6728 nucleotides) under Malus domestica (apple). RNAcentral's name for it is "long non-coding RNA (MDOM_LNC011564)". The record is from RNAcentral. Lineage: Eukaryota; Viridiplantae; Streptophyta; Magnoliopsida; Rosales; Rosaceae.